This 29-nucleotide ribosomal RNA is filed under the name Fusarium sp. RNAcentral's name for it is "partial 28S ribosomal RNA". Lineage: Eukaryota; Fungi; Ascomycota; Sordariomycetes; Hypocreales; Nectriaceae. The record is from RNAcentral.
UGUUGACCUCGGAUCAGGUAGGAAUACCC